RNAcentral lists this ribosomal RNA (475 nucleotides) under uncultured bacterium. RNAcentral's name for it is "partial 16S ribosomal RNA". It matches the Rfam family "Bacterial small subunit ribosomal RNA", at positions 28 to 507 of the family's 1533-position model. The record is from RNAcentral.
GAUGAACGCUAGCGGCAUGCCUAACACAUGCAAGUCGAGCGAUAAGCCUUCGGGCUAAGACCUGCGCACGUGUGCGUAACGCGUAUACAAUCUGCCUUUUAUCCUGGGGAUAACCCUGAGAAAUUUGCAUUAAUACCCUAUUAUAUAAGAGCACGGCAUCGUACACUUAUUAAAGCUACUGCGGUACAAUAUUAGUAUGCGUUCUAUUUGCUAGUUGGAGAGGUAACGGCUACCCAAGGCGACGAUAGAUAGGGGUUCUGAGAGGGAUGUCCCCCACACUGGUACUGAGAUACAGACCAGAAUGCUACGGGAGGCAGCAGUGAGGAAUAUUGGACAAUGGUCGGAAGACUGAUCCAGCCAUGCCGCGUGCAGGAUGACGGCCUUAUGGGUUGUAAACUGCUUUUGUAAGGGAAGAAUAAGGAGUACGUGUACUUUGAUGACGGUACCUUACGAAUAAGCAUCGGCUAACUACGUG